UUUACAUUUGAGUGAGUGGCGAACUGGUGAGUAACACGUGGGAAACCUGCCCAGAAGCGGGGGAUAACACCUGGAAACAGAUGCUAAUACCGCAUAACAACUUGGACCGCAUGGUCCGAGUUUGAAAGAUGGCUUCGGCUAUCACUUUUGGAUGGUCCCGCGGCGUAUUAGCUAGAUGGUGGGGUAACGGCUCACCAUGGCAAUGAUACGUAGCCGACCUGAGAGGGUAAUCGGCCACAUUGGGACUGAGACACGGCCCAAACUCCUACGGGAGGCAGCAGUAGGGAAUCUUCCACAAUGGACGAAAGUCUGAUGGAGCAACGCCGCGUGAGUGAAGAAGGGUUUCGGCUCGUAAAACUCUGUUGUUAAAGAAGAACAUAUCUGAGAGUAACUGUUCAGGUAUUGACGGUAUUUAACCAGAAAGCCACGGCUAACUACGUGCCAGCAGCCGCGGUAAUACGUAGGUGGCAAGCGUUGUCCGGAUUUAUUGGGCGUAAAGCGAGCGCAGGCGGUUUUUUAAGUCUGAUGUGAAAGCCUUCGGCUCAACCGAAGAAGUGCAUCGGAAACUGGGAAACUUGAGUGCAGAAGAGGACAGUGGAACUCCAUGUGUAGCGGUGAAAUGCGUAGAUAUAUGGAAGAACACCAGUGGCGAAGGCGGCUGUCUGGUCUGUAACUGACGCUGAGGCUCGAAAGUAUGGGUAGCAAACAGGAUUAGAUACCCUGGUAGUCCAUACCGUAAACGAUGAAUGCU
RNAcentral lists this ribosomal RNA (751 nucleotides) under Lactiplantibacillus plantarum. RNAcentral describes it as "bacterial SSU rRNA". It matches the Rfam family "Bacterial small subunit ribosomal RNA", at positions 80 to 817 of the family's 1533-position model. Lineage: Bacteria; Bacillati; Bacillota; Bacilli; Lactobacillales; Lactobacillaceae. The record is from RNAcentral.